Long non-coding RNA from Calliphora vicina (urban bluebottle blowfly), 404 nucleotides. RefSeq lists it as uncharacterized. The record is from RefSeq and is a predicted model, not a curated record. Lineage: Eukaryota; Metazoa; Arthropoda; Insecta; Diptera; Calliphoridae. The transcript has 2 exons.
AUUGUUCCAUUUGCAAUUGAAACAAUAAUAACGUAUUUAAAACUGCUCUUCACAAAUAAUUAUUUAGAACAAAAUAAUGUAUUUCACAAAACUAUUUUUCAUUGUGGUUAUUGCCAUUAUUUUGUUUUUGAACUUCACGGAAGCUGGACAAGCUGCCGCGAAAAUUGGUAAAGAAGCGGGCAAAGUAGCUGGUGGAGCUUUAAAAAAAGGUUCUAAGACUGGUGCAAAAGUUGUUGGGGGCGGUGCCCUUGUCAAUUCAACUGUGAAUGUCAAUAUUGAUAAUAAGCCAAGAAGUCGAUCAAAUUCUCCCAGCGGAAGUAAAUCGAAAAAUGGUUGAUUUUAAUUAAAUUUUAUAGAAUGUACAAUAAUAAAUUGUAAAUAAAAUGAUUAUAUCGGAAAAAAAA